RNAcentral lists this ribosomal RNA (496 nucleotides) under uncultured bacterium. Its description in RNAcentral is "partial 16S ribosomal RNA". It matches the Rfam family "Bacterial small subunit ribosomal RNA", at positions 28 to 506 of the family's 1533-position model. The record is from RNAcentral.
GACGAACGCUGGCGGCGUGCCUAAUACAUGCAAGUUGAGCGCUGAAGGUUGGUCCUUGUACCAAAUGGCUGAGCAGCGAACGGGUGAGUAACGCGUGGGGAAUCUGCCUUUGAGCGGGGGACAACAUUUGGAAACGAAUGCUAAUACCGCAUAAAAACUUUAAACACAAGUUUUAAGUUUGAAAGAUGCAAUUGCAUCACUCAAAGAUGAUCCCGCGUUGUAUUAGCUAGUUGGUGAGGUAAAGGCUCACCAAGGCGAUGAUACAUAGCCGACCUGAGAGGGUGAUCGGCCACAUUGGGACUGAGACACGGCCCAAACUCCUACGGGAGGCAGCAGUAGGGAAUCUUCGGCAAUGGACGAAAGUCUGACCGAGCAACGCCGCGUGAGUGAAGAAGGUUUUCGGAUCGUAAAACUCUGUUGGUAGAGAAGAACGUUGGUGAGAGUGGAAAGCUCAUCAAGUGACGGUAACUACCCAGAAAGGGACGGCUAACUACGU